This 445-nucleotide ribosomal RNA is filed under the name uncultured bacterium. RNAcentral's name for it is "partial 16S ribosomal RNA". It matches the Rfam family "Bacterial small subunit ribosomal RNA", at positions 354 to 796 of the family's 1533-position model. The record is from RNAcentral.
GUGAGGAAUAUUGGACAAUGGGCGCAAGCCUGAUCCAGCCAUGCCGCGUGCAGGAAGACGCAUCUAUGGUGUGUAAACUGCUUUUGUACGGGAAGAAACACUCCCUCGUGAGGGAGCUUGACGGUACCGUAAGAAUAAGGAUCGGCUAACUCCGUGCCAGCAGCCGCGGUAAUACGGAGGAUCCAAGCGUUAUCCGGAAUCAUUGGGUUUAAAGGGUCCGUAGGCGGUUUAAUAAGUCAGUGGUGAAAGCCCAUCGCUCAACGAUGGAACGGCCAUUGAUACUGUUAGACUUGAAUUACAAGGAAGUAACUAGAAUAUGUAGUGUAGCGGUGAAAUGCUUAGAUAUUACAUGGAAUACCAAUUGCGAAGGCAGGUUACUACUUGUGGAUUGACGCUGAUGGACGAAAGCGUGGGGAGCGAACAGGAUUAGAAACCCUUGUAGUCC